This is a long non-coding RNA of Mauremys reevesii (Reeves's turtle), 190 nucleotides long. RefSeq lists it as uncharacterized. The transcript is spliced from 3 exons. The record is from RefSeq and is a predicted model, not a curated record. NCBI's taxonomy places the organism in Eukaryota, Metazoa, Chordata, Testudines, Geoemydidae.
UAGCCAACCUGGAGCUCUGUUGGCCCAGCUGCUGUUUUAAAAUCUCACAAGUCCUGAGGUAUCCCAAGGCCAGCUUUGAGAAGGGAUGAGAAUCAGUUUGAUGAAGGACAAGGGGAAGAACAGUAACCUCUCUUGCCAUUUAAAGCCAUGAAAAAUCCCAGCUUUCCCAAGGACUAAACUUUGCAGGACC